AUACGGAGGGUGCAAGCGUUGUUCGGAAUCACUGGGCGUAAAGGGCGUGCAGGCGGUUUGUUAAGUCAGGUGUGAAAGUCCACAGCUCAACUGUGGAAGUGCAUUUGAAACUGGCAGACUCGAGUACUGGAGGGGGUGGUGGAAUUCCCGGUGUAGAGGUGAAAUUCGUAGAUAUCGGGAGGAAUACCGGUGGCGAAGGCGACCACCUGGCCAGAUACUGACGCUGAGGUGCGAAAGCGUGGGGAGCAAACAGGAUUAGAAACCCUAGUAGUCC
RNAcentral lists this ribosomal RNA (274 nucleotides) under uncultured bacterium. RNAcentral describes it as "partial 16S ribosomal RNA". It matches the Rfam family "Bacterial small subunit ribosomal RNA", at positions 523 to 796 of the family's 1533-position model. The record is from RNAcentral.